Long non-coding RNA from Galleria mellonella (greater wax moth), 990 nucleotides. RefSeq lists it as uncharacterized. The transcript is spliced from 3 exons. NCBI's taxonomy places the organism in Eukaryota, Metazoa, Arthropoda, Insecta, Lepidoptera, Pyralidae. The record is from RefSeq and is a predicted model, not a curated record.
GUGGGGAUAUUUAGAGCGGCUACGCCGCUGCGGCGGCCGCGCGAGACAUUUUAUUAAGCGACUUUUAAGAGUACGAGAUUCUCAAUUCAUCUGUAUGUAUUUUUGUGUCUUACAUAACCAUAACACCGUACGUAACAACGAUAAAAGUCAGGACACAUUCUUUAAGGUGAAGAAACGGGACGUCCCGGCUUUUGUGGUAUAGUUGGUAAGCCUGGCGUGUCGUAUGAUCAUCGUAUGAUUUAAGACUGAUGUCCAAGAACAUAAGAGGGAGCGGGUAUGUGAGCAAAUCUUAAAUCGAGAAAGCCGUGUAGGUCCUGGCAUUGAAUCUUUCACCACCCUUUCUCUUUCCAUGAGUGUUUUAAGAAGCGACUAAGGGAGAGCGAGCGAUGGGCAGCAGCGUCCCUCUUAAAAUAUCUCUAAAAGCUGAACUGUGGUUAUCAACUCGCCUACCAAGCGUGGUAGCUACUGGCAAAACUCCUCUUAUUUGGUAAAAAAUAUGUCCAGCAGUGGACAGUGAAAUGAAGAUGAAUUUUAAAAUGAAAAAUUGGUAUGAACGAGUGCAGUAUUCUGAUUUAUACUAGAAGGCAUUGUUAUCACAAAAUGUAGAAAAAGUUUGUUUUUUUUUUAUGCAACUUAGAAUGGCAAACAAGCUGACGGCCCACCUGAUGGAAAGCGGUAACCGUCGCCUAUAGACAUGUGCAGUACCAUGGACAUAACAGAGCAUACUGUUUCGCCCAUGAUACCCCCCAUGCGUUGCCAUUCCUGAGGACUCAGGUGUUAUUCCUCUGUACCCUGUAAAUUCACGCCAUAUCCCACCCUUCAAACCGAAACACAGCCAUGCAAACACAACUGCUUCACGGUUGAAACACGAAUGGGACAUUUCAGGAGCAAUCGACUUUUGUACAAAGUCUCCCUCUGGUGAAAGUAAUACUAAAUCUAUAAUACUAUUAAUAUUCCAUCUAAUUAUUUGCGUACAAUUGACACAUUCGU